RNA transcript from Arachis stenosperma, 2492 nucleotides. RefSeq lists it as uncharacterized. NCBI's taxonomy places the organism in Eukaryota, Viridiplantae, Streptophyta, Magnoliopsida, Fabales, Fabaceae. The record is from RefSeq and is a predicted model, not a curated record. The transcript is spliced from 5 exons.
CUACAUUGGUCUCUUCCCAAACGUAUCCAAAACAAUGAAUACAAGAAAACAGCCCAUGCCCUUGCAAAGUCCAUUACAAUUGUAAAAGACAGGAGAUGCUUUUCACCGUUGAUCUCUGGUUUCUUGAACACUUUGGUUCAAUAAUACACCGCACGCAAUAUUCCCUGAAGCUUGCACGGAAAAGUUUGACCCCAAUGGCAGCAACAAGAGUUUCCAACACAGAUCUACAACGUGUGGCAAGCAAUCCCUUCCAUACACCUUUUCGAUUACUCUCAUUUCUAGAGGAAUCGGCAGUUUCUGAUAUCUCGGAGAAGACACUGAUGGAGGUGGCGGUGGUUAUUUUCCCUAGCUGAUACGUCGGCUUUCCUGAGGCACAUAGAUCUUUGUUUGGGAUUUUCACGAGUUGAUGGAGGAGAACAGCCUUACUGAGACAUGCUGGUUCAACAUCUUGGCCAAUGAUCUCCUUCGCUGGCAAUUGGAUGGGGCCUUUUCGGGCGACUACUAUGAUUCCACCUCUCCGGACGGCGGAGCUUCAUCGGCGGUAUCCAUGGACAUUGUCUCUGACCAAAAUAGCAUGAAGCAGAUCAAUGAAAGGCUCUUUGCACUUAGGACAGCCGUUCCCAACGUCACCAAGAUGGAUAAGGCAUCAAUCAUAAAGGAUGGAACUCAUUAGAUAUAACACUUGCAUGAAAAAGAGAGAAGGAUCCAAGAUGAGAUAAUGGAGGUUAAAUUUAAGAAACUCAAUAAUCCAAUUAUGGCGGCAUCGGCAGCAGCAGGAGACUAUGAUUUUGAACAGAAUCUUCCCAUUGUUAUCAGAUCUAAGAAGAAGAGACCCGAUAACCUUUUCUUUGAUACCUCGACUUCUUCUUCCUCAAUAAAUAACACCAACUAUUUUCCUAUUGAACUGAUUGAUCUUUAUGCACAAUUGGGUUCUUCUUGGCAAGAAUGCAAGAACGAAAACUGAGGAUUCAUCUUCCACCAAAGCUUUAAUGUCAACUGUCAGACUUGUGAAAAGGUGAUAUUUUUGUUGUCCAAUGUGUCUGUUGAAAUCUCUAAAUAUUGAGUAGUUUGAAUCGUUCUAAAAUAAUAUGUUGCAUUGAGGAGGGAGUGCGUAUGGUAUUUUGAUAGCAACAAUCUUAAGGAAUUGUCUGUAGCUUUCUGAAUAUCAUAUUGAAUAUACAAGGCUUGAUUUAAUCUCCAAUCAUGGAACUUCUCUUCUUCCUUUCCUGAUUGCGACUUUUAGGUAAAUUUCAUGUCUCUUUCCUAUUUGAUUGUCAGUGUUUUAACCACAUGCUUUGGAAAUCCAUUCAUAUUAUCUAUCAUUUUGAAAUUAGAAAUUGAUUGGAAUUUUAUUUUAUUUAAGGUGAUUUAUACUUUCACUUCUGCAUUUAGUUAUACUAUUUUUCUUUUUUCCAAUUAAUGUUGGGCUUUUAUGCUAUUUAAAAUGGUCUUUCAAUUGUGUGUUCAUUCACUUUAUGCUAAAAGAUUUUUUUUUUUUACUAUCUAUUUGCUUUCUCCCCUUUUUUUUCCCGGUUCUUACUGUGCAUAGUUUCUUUCUAUGAAAUGUUAAGCUAAAUGCUGAAACUCUCUCUUUUAUGGGAGCUGUGUGUAUACUGUAUUGGAUACAUAUAGUUCUUUUCAAGUUCUUUACUGGCAUUAUUUAUGGUUUGCACGCUUCAUCCAUCAGAUGUAACUUUUCUUACGGUACCUCUCUAACUUACUUUCUUACAAAAAAACAUAACAUAUUAGAUAUAUUAAUUUGCAUUGCUUUGUCCGUAAACUAUAUGGUCUUCUGGUGAAAUUUGUGCAGUCAGUAUUAGUUAGGCACUACAGCAAGUCAUUGUGCUAAAUUGAUGGUGGAAAAUAGGGGAAAAUAAAGAUAAUAUUAAAAAGUUGACAACAGUUGAUAAUAUUACCUACAUUUUUUUCUCUUCUAAUUUCGAUUUUAUUUUCGUGGUAAGUAAAGAUAUCUUUUAGUAUGGUGCCUGACAUGUCUAUGUAUCUUACACUAGAUGCCCUCCAUCUCCUUGCUAUAGGAAGACAAUGACAAGUUCAGAUCUGAGGACAAUUAGAUUGCACUUGUCCAUUGCUUUUGCUAAAUAUCUGAAACCAUCUGGGCAUGGUUCCAUCUGGAAUAUAACCGGUCCACCUUCCGGUGUAGGGAAAAAUAUCUUUUUCUUCUGCCCGCUGAGGAGUAGUGGAAGGGAUUCAGAGUGAAAAUUUGGGAUUGAGUGGAAGGAGUGCUGUAAGUUGUACAAGUUAAAGAAGGACAAGCUUAUCUUAAGACUAGCCUCCAUACUAGACCAGCACAUACAGUUGGAGAUCGAAAAAUUUUAAUUCCUACAAAAAAAUAGCUGUUUAUCUAUUAUCCUGCAGAAACAUUUUUCUUUAUGUCUUGGAUUGUACUGGACAUGUUCCAUUUUUUUCUUUUUUUUUUCUAGAUAUCUGACAUUCUAUGCUUUAAAUUUGCUAAAUAAUGGGUUUUCUUUUCA